Molecule: transfer RNA, 78 nt
Filed under: archaeon
Lineage: Archaea
Also listed under: 5 other names
Description: tRNA-Ile
Rfam family: tRNA
About the family: Transfer RNA (tRNA) molecules are approximately 80 nucleotides in length.
Source: RNAcentral
GGGCUUGUAGCUCAGUUUGGCUGGAGCGUUCGGCUGAUAACCGAAAGGUCGAGAGUUCAAAUCUCUCCAGGCCCACCA